This is a long non-coding RNA of Pan troglodytes (chimpanzee), 922 nucleotides long. RefSeq lists it as uncharacterized. The transcript is spliced from 3 exons. The record is from RefSeq and is a predicted model, not a curated record. NCBI's taxonomy places the organism in Eukaryota, Metazoa, Chordata, Mammalia, Primates, Hominidae.
GAAAUAACUGAGAUGGGUUAUGUAAGCAUAAAAACACAUUGUCAUCGUUUGCUUCAAAAGUUUGUUUGAAAUGUUUUAAAUCCUAGAAAAUCAGGGAAGUGUCAGCAAAAUCUAUAUUUGGUAUGGCAUCGGAAAAAUCACAAGAUUAGAGUCUUCUGUUGAAACGAGGACUGAAAACAUGGCUGUUAAGAGAAGUAUGUGCUGUCGUAAGAGCCUGCAGUGAAGGAGCUGGCCUUGAUGAAGCAGCAGAAUGUGAAAUGCCAAAACAGAUGGAGUUGCUUGGAUACAAGGAGAAUCUUACAGAAUACAAAUGAACUUGAAGGCAUUAGUAAUAUUUUCAAAAUAAUAGAGAAAUGGCACAAAGAGUGAAAGAGGUGAAAUCUGUCUUUGAUGGGAAUAAUAUCUAAAAGGAGUAUUGUACAUAUCUGCUGGCAGCUUUAAAAAAAUUAAUGAUUACUGAAAUUCAGAAAUGUCAACAGUAUGAAAUGAGCAAAAUUACUUCCCUAACAAGAUUUUAUAAGAGAUAAAGUAGUGGGAUAUUUCCUUGAAAUAAUGUUCAUCAUCAAUGCUGAAGUUUACAGGGACAAAAAUAUGAAAUCAUGUGUUCAUAGACAGCCCCAGGACACACACAGUGGAUGCAUUGUGUUCUCCUGGGUUGCAUAACUACUUUGAAAGAAGUUUUCUUUUCUGUGUCAUAAAAGAAGACUUUUUGGCUCUGCCAGGAUACUCUACUAUUUGGCCCCAUAGACUUCAAGCAUGUCCGAAGAUACGUGCCAAUUGCUUGUUGGUUUUUGAAGAUCAUUCUGAUCUCUGCUGAGUUACCCAACUGGACUCAGAAGGGUCUGACCCACGUGCCACAUUCCAGCUGUUUGCUUGUUUGUUUUUAAUCUCAACCUAGUUUAAUGGGAAGAAGGUGAGUCAC